UCCCUAGUGGUCCAGCAGUUAAGACACUGUGCUUCUACUGCAGGGGCUCAGGUUCAAUCUCUGGUUGGGGGA
This 72-nucleotide transfer RNA is filed under the name Bos taurus (domestic cattle). It matches the Rfam family "tRNA". Rfam says of the family: Transfer RNA (tRNA) molecules are approximately 80 nucleotides in length. Their secondary structure includes four short double-helical elements and three loops (D, anti-codon, and T loops). The record is from Rfam by way of RNAcentral. Lineage: Eukaryota; Metazoa; Chordata; Mammalia; Artiodactyla; Bovidae. RNAcentral also lists the same sequence under 2 other names.